Molecule: transfer RNA, 92 nt
Filed under: Ruminococcus sp.
Lineage: Bacteria; Bacillati; Bacillota; Clostridia; Eubacteriales; Oscillospiraceae
Also listed under: 1 other name
Description: tRNA-Ser
Rfam family: tRNA
About the family: Transfer RNA (tRNA) molecules are approximately 80 nucleotides in length. Their secondary structure includes four short double-helical elements and three loops (D, anti-codon, and T loops). Further hydrogen bonds mediate the characteristic L-shaped molecular structure. tRNAs have two regions of fundamental functional importance: the anti-codon, which is responsible for specific mRNA codon recognition, and the 3' end, to which the tRNAs corresponding amino acid is attached (by aminoacyl-tRNA synthetases). tRNAs cope with the degeneracy of the genetic code in two manners: having more than one tRNA (with a specific anti-codon) for a particular amino acid; and 'wobble' base-pairing, i.e. permitting non-standard base-pairing at the 3rd anti-codon position.
Source: RNAcentral
GGACAGAUGGCUGAGCUGGUCUAAGGCGCACGACUGGAAAUCGUGUAAGCGUUAGUAGCGCUUCGAGGGUUCGAAUCCCUCUCUGUCCGCCA